Molecule: non-coding RNA, 478 nt
Organism: Sceloporus undulatus (fence lizard)
Lineage: Eukaryota; Metazoa; Chordata; Lepidosauria; Squamata; Phrynosomatidae
Source: the annotation of a RefSeq genome assembly
CAAGCAUUGUGUUGGUCUGUUACCACUUCCCACCCAAUUCCAUUGAUACAACAAAAGAAAGAUGAUACUUUUCCUUCAGAUAAUUGUUUAUUCAGCUAUCCUAAGGGGUGUACAAUCAGCUGUUCAACUGGUGGAGUCUGGAGGAGGUGUCAAAAGGCCUGGAGACUCCCUUCGCCUCUCCUGCCAGGCAUCUGGGUUCACCUUCAGUAGCUAUGGCAUGAACUGGGUGCGACAGGCUCCUGGGAAGGGGCUGGAAUGGAUUGCAGUUAUAUGGUAUGAUGGGAGCAAGCAAUUCUAUGCAGACACAGUGAAAGGGCGCUUCACCAUCUCCAGGAACAACCCUUCAAACAUGCUAUAUCUGCAAAUGAACAACUUAAGACCAGAGGACACUGCCGUGUAUUACUGUGCAAAAGACACAGUGAGGGGAAGUGAAUCUGAAGCCAGACAAAAACAAAACUUAGUCAUAACAAAUUUCUGA